GCCGCAAACACCAUCUCCACUUCUCUCUUUCUCGUCUUCUCACUCUUCUCUACUCUCUAAUAACACGAAUGGCUGCCAUGGUCUGAACCAAAGUCUCCAUGGUUGCCACUCACGACGCAACUUACUCCAAAAGGCCUCCAUGGUCGAAGCUCAGUCGUUACUCAAAGAUGGCCACUCCUAUCCUUCCUCAUCAUCUCGCACGAUCAUCACUCACCGGAGUAUUCUAGGGCGGUCUUCGGAUGACUUAAGUAAACUUGAAUCGAUCCCCCUUUACUCUCUUUCGAAUGGUUGUUGCUUAAGGGAACCCAAUCCUCACUAACACUCGGUCAACCAUCACAUAACAGCUACAAUGCGAAUUAAAAAAAAACUGAGCAAGGUGAUUGAACUAACUCAUAAUCUCUAUAUUAUUACUUGCUUAGAAAUAAAAACAUUUAAAGGAUACUGGAAAUUGAAAGAAAGGUGAAAAGUAC
This is a long non-coding RNA of Hibiscus syriacus, 470 nucleotides long. RefSeq lists it as uncharacterized. The transcript has 2 exons. NCBI's taxonomy places the organism in Eukaryota, Viridiplantae, Streptophyta, Magnoliopsida, Malvales, Malvaceae. The record is from RefSeq and is a predicted model, not a curated record.